RNAcentral lists this long non-coding RNA (741 nucleotides) under Canis lupus familiaris (dog). RNAcentral describes it as "lncRNA (ENSCAFG00000050717.1)". Lineage: Eukaryota; Metazoa; Chordata; Mammalia; Carnivora; Canidae. The record is from RNAcentral.
UGCUAAACCAUUCCCUCUUCCCCUCAAGAUAGCCAGGAAGCAGUCCCUGUGCCUUUCCUGAUUACCUCCUGGCUUAUCUCCAGGUGCCAGACUACGCUGGAUGUGUGGGCAGAUCUCUCUCACAUAAGUAAACCUCAGAAGAUGAUGAAUGAACAAGACCUGAAUGUGUGUCACAUUAUGAAACCAGGCAUGUGGAAGCACAUCUCCAAAACAGGGUAUUCCAAGCCACACGGGUGCAAAAGGAAAAGAAGAUGACAGAAGAUCCACCAUCUUCCUAGUAUAAAGCUUUAAAAUGCAAAUUCAUUUCCACUUGAUCACAGACCAGGAAGAUGAGUGUUUGAUGAUACCAUCUGACACCAUUGAUUGACCAUCUGGGAUACGUUUGGUCCAAGUCCUCACCUCAGUUUCAGUUUGCGGAGAUAAAAAAUAUGACCCAAACCUACCCAUGAAAGUUGCCUACCUGGCAGUGUUCUCAAGACCUAGUGAGAACCAAAGAUGGCAAUUGGAGCUGGAGAGUGAUUAGUUAGGAUCCAGGACCCAAGUCAGGGGAGAAGGCAGGCACUGGGGAAAACUUCUGUUCUUCGUCCUGAUAUUUGGAGAAAAGGUUGGGAAGUAAUUUGAAAAAAUUAUGAGCCUCUUCACAUAAUUUUAUGUUGACAUCUAAUUGUUUUCAUUACAAACUUGACAUUUCUUAAGUAUUAUAAUUCUGAAUAUUAAAAUUUAAAAUAUUCUUGAACUGUC